RNAcentral lists this long non-coding RNA (202 nucleotides) under Mytilus galloprovincialis (Mediterranean mussel). The record is from RNAcentral. Lineage: Eukaryota; Metazoa; Mollusca; Bivalvia; Mytilida; Mytilidae.
AAAACCAUGUAAUCAAAAGAGAUGCACGAGAUUAUCAUAAUAAAAGUUCUGUCAGGUUUUCAGCCAGCAAUUGACAUGUUGUUAUAUGUUGACUUUAAACAUACAACAAUUAAAACCAGCUUUAAGAUAACAUAAUCCCUGAAUGUGGGACACAAUUGAAUCGGGAUACCAUAGAUUAUAUAUAUUCUAUACAAAUAGAGAC